Molecule: long non-coding RNA, 753 nt
Filed under: Vitis vinifera (wine grape)
Lineage: Eukaryota; Viridiplantae; Streptophyta; Magnoliopsida; Vitales; Vitaceae
Description: long non-coding RNA (VVIN_LNC003047)
Source: RNAcentral
CUUUUGGGCUAGCUUAGGGGGAGCAAGCUUUCAGGGAGUUUCUGGGCUGGUUUGGAGGAUAUUCUGAAGCAUUGUAUCUUUCCUGGGAGAUUCAGAGUAUUUGAAGUUGAACGGGAGCUUACCACAGAAGGACAUUUUCAGGUAUGUCCAUUAUAAUUUUCCCAUAUCCUUCCAUUUUAGAUCUCUCUCAUGUCUCACUUUCUGUAAUCUCUACAUUGUUGGCUGGAUUGCUUGGUUGAGGGAUUAUUACUUGGAUAUCUGAAAUAGUUUGAGAUAUUCUAUGCUCUGCUCUGGUAAACAUUUUUCACCUUAAUCCACCGAUUGUUGGACUCAUGGAACAAAUAAUGAAGUGAGUUCAACACGUUCGUAAAAGGUUUCAUGUUCAUUUUCCUGUUGCUAUUUCUCUUUUUCCCCUGUUUAUGGCUCCAUUUCAUGAUGAUGAUGGAGUAAUGUCGGAAAUGGACGUUUGUGUCGAGUCUUUGGAGGUGGACGAGCCAGAUUAUGUGUCCAGGUUUGCAUUUUCCCGUUUCUAAGUGCCGGUGGUGACUGCAGAUGGGGCUCUUUAUUAUGCCAGUAGUGGUUGGGAAGUUUGAUGAAACAAUGUUAGUGCUUGAAAAGAUGUUGGCAGAGAACUUUAUGGAGAAAUGAAUUUUGGAAUGGGUCCCACCAGCAUGAUUUGCAUUUAAUGGUGUACAUAAAGCAUGUGUUUGGCUCAGCUAUGCAUGACCACUUUCUCUCAGGUGCGUGUCAUCC